This is a non-coding RNA of Phascolarctos cinereus (koala), 1388 nucleotides long. The record is from RefSeq and is a predicted model, not a curated record. Lineage: Eukaryota; Metazoa; Chordata; Mammalia; Diprotodontia; Phascolarctidae.
CUUCAGAGGAAAAAAUAGAUAUUUAAUGAAAUAGAAGACUUUCAAGGAUUCCUGAUGAAAAGAUCAGAGCUUGAUAGAAAACCUGACAUUCAAACAAAAGGCUCAAGAGAAGCAUAAAAAGGUUGUAGUUACUCUCCAUCCGGUGUUUUGAAAGGGAAGUGAAGAGAAACCAAAAUACCAACUCUACACUAUCCUCUCUGGAAUCCUUGCCACCUCAUCAUAUUACUGAUUAUGUCCAGCCAAGCCUCAGCCUUACAUCACUUCCACCGUUUGCCACUUACACUUCUAUAUACAGGCUUCUGAACGAAGAUGAAGAAAACACACAAUUGUUAUGACUUGGUCAACUACAAAUUUAUGUGACACAACCUCAACUGAGACCCCAUUGUUGCUAGGCAAUGCCACUAUACCUCCCUUAUCAAUUCACUAUCCCACUCUCCAUAGCUGCUUUUCCAAAUCUUUUCAUCUCUGUUCAAAUCCCCCAUGGCUCAGGCUUCAGUAAGCGGAAGUUUGCAAAAGGACAAGGCUUGAUUCAUCAGCAAGUUUUGAAUUUGCCUGUGUACUCCACGCAUGGCUUGGUUGUGACAAAGUGUAUGAGAAGCAUGUGACCUUGAGCAGCUGCUAGUCAGGUUCUGGUCAUCAUCUGUGUGAGCUGGUCUUGUGAGCUCUUUGCCUUCAUCAGUUUAAAUCGAAAUAUUUUCACGUGUGCAAAUUUCCAGACAGCAAGAAAUUUUUAUGAGGUUUGUUUUGGUUUUUUUUAACUUAGCAAAACACUUCUGGGGAAUCUACACGUGAAAAGGGAAAAAAAAGUUUUUGAAUGGCAAGAACAGAAUAGUUCGUUGUACAAGGGCUGGUAGGCACUGGAGUGUAACACUUGAAAGUUUUGUGGUACUAUAGCUACUCCUUGUCUCUCAAGAGGUAGUAGUGAGGAGAUACUCUGUAAACCUGGAGAGCAAGCAGAGAGUUUAGUAAUGCCUUUCUCUUCAAUCCCUCCUCAGAUGAAGGUAGAUGGAAUAUAUGAGAUAAAAGAAGAGUAAAAGGUAAAAGGAAUCCUCUUCACUAUUAUAAUGCUUCUUCCACAUAUUUCAAAUAGCAACAAAAGAGAAAAUAAGAGCUUUUCCUCCCAAAAGAAGAUAUUCCACAAAUAUCAGUUCCCCCAUCCCAAAAAUAUUUAUUAGUUUCCUACUAUGUGUAACUAUGUAUUAUAGAGGGUACAAAUGUAGCUUUCCUUUCCAGAGUCACCCUGGAGAGGAAAUAUUUUCAAAAUUCUACCAACCACAGACAUGGAACUGGAGCUAUCGUGGAUUCUUUGCAAGGAAGACAUAGAGAGGAAGACAGAUCAAAAGGAAGAAGCCACACAUAACCUAGCCCCAACCUGUCUUCCAGCCUCA